Molecule: ribosomal RNA, 492 nt
Filed under: uncultured bacterium
Lineage: Bacteria
Description: partial 16S ribosomal RNA
Rfam family: Bacterial small subunit ribosomal RNA
Source: RNAcentral
AGUGAACGCUGGCGGUAGGCCUAACACAUGCAAGUCGAACGGCAGCACAGUAAAAGCUUGCUCUUACGGGUGGCGAGUGGCGGACGAGUGAGGAAUACAUCGGAAUUUACUUUUUCGGGGGGGAUAACGUAGGGAAACUUACGCUAAUACCGCAUACGACCUACGGGUGAAAGCAGGGGAUCUUCGGACCUUGCGCGAUUGAAUGAGCCGAUGUCGGAUUAGCUAGUUGGCGGGGUAAAGGCCCACCAAGGCGACGAUCCGUAGCUGGUCUGAGAGGAUGAUCAGCCACACUGGAACUGAGACACGGUCCAGACUCCUACGGGAGGCAGCAGUGGGGAAUAUUGGACAAUGGGCGCAAGCCUGAUCCAGCCAUACCGCGUGGGUGAAGAAGGCCUUCGGGUUGUAAAGCCCUUUUGUUGGGAAAGAAAAGCAGCAGGUUAAUACCCCGCUGUUCUGACGGUACCCAAAGAAUAAGCACCGGCUAACUUCGUG